Molecule: long non-coding RNA, 1348 nt
Filed under: Mus musculus (house mouse)
Lineage: Eukaryota; Metazoa; Chordata; Mammalia; Rodentia; Muridae
Description: long non-coding RNA chr12:79191065-79192413
Source: RNAcentral
GAUUCUCAGGUGAUUACACACACCUCCAGGUUUGGGCUGACCUGACACUUAAUUAAGAAACCAUCCUUUGACCACGUGGUUCUUCUCCUGGCUCCUAGUAAUCUAAUUAGGGCAAACAAGCACGUGUUCCUACUCCGAAGGACAAUGAAUCUUCCCCUUCAGUUGUCACAAACACCUAAACAAGUGAAUAACGGCAACAAGGAAGCAUGCCCCAGAUAACAUUGGCAUCGGGUUCAGAGAGCAAAAAGUGCAACCCUCCUGUAGUACCUCAAGGGCUGGAGACAAAUAGUUAGACAAAGGCUGGUUCAAAGCUUGGGAGUGGAGAAAACAGUUAGAAUCUAAAGCCCGCCAUACUCAGCGGCUUCCCGAAGCUAGAGAGCAAAUAGUGCUAGAGGAAAUAAGGUAGGCCAGAAAGAGCAAUACAGGAUGAUGGAGACCUGGAGCGCUUUUACGACCACCUGGGGUCUGACGUCUGGCCGUGCCCACAUCCAGGGCACCAGGAUCUCGCCUACAGUCCAGUAAACUCCAGAUCUUUGCUACCUUAAAGGGCUUCUCAGUCCUUUCCUAGUCUUUCUUUACGGGGGCUAGGGAGAGGGCUUCAGUAGGGAUUUUUUAUCUUCUCUAAAAGACCUGGCAAGAAAAAGCAACAUUCGCACAGACCUGAUUUUUGGCGUGACCAAGUACAGGAUGAAGGGAAGAGAGAGCAGAAGCAGGAAUCCGAACAUCUCAGCACCACCGAAGCGCAGUUGAAGUUGAUGCUCUAAAGAGGACAGCGGGACUUAUGGCUUCUGAUCCUAGACACACCCCGGUUCAACUGCAACCGCCAGGGAGCAAAGCCCUCUGGGAAAUGUAGUCCUGGAUUUGGCGGCCGCCUGGCGGUGAUACAUUCAGAGUAUACUUCCAAGCACUAUGAAAAGUUGAAUAACACAACCGUGGAGCAAUGGUCUUCAGUGGUCCAGGGCCUAGGCCUGUGGGAUCGUUGAGCCAGCCCUUCUACCACUCCUCUGGCCACUAAUUGACUCUUUGGAAGUCUCGCGGGUUUGCUAUCUCCUGGAGCCCAAGUCCAGUGUUUGGUUCAAUUUUCCCCAAUCAUUAUUAGGAAAUUACAUUUUGUCUGGGAGACAGCGUCUGGAAAGUAUUCUGAGGUUAAUUACAAAGGGCAGGAGCCGUUAGUCGGACAGUUGGUGUGGCGGAAGAUGUCCUUCCUCAGAGAUGACCUUUGCCCUAUGGGGCAAAGCAAGUUAAGACCUCCUAGAGAGUCACGGUUGUGUGUACUUCGAUCUAUGAUAGUAUCCUUCAUAAUUUCCCAAGCCCUUGGUUGUUAUUUGAUAAUAAAAUAGUUUCUUGG